RNAcentral lists this long non-coding RNA (473 nucleotides) under Cricetulus griseus (Chinese hamster). RNAcentral describes it as "lncRNA (ENSCGRG00000025439.1)". Lineage: Eukaryota; Metazoa; Chordata; Mammalia; Rodentia; Cricetidae. The record is from RNAcentral.
GUAGCUUUGGAGCCUAUCCUGGCACUCGCUCUGGAGACCAGGCUGGCCUGGAAACUCACAAGAGAUCCGCCUGCCUCUGCCUCCCGAGUGCUGGGAUUAAAGGCGUGCGCCACCAACGCCUGGCAAGCAGCCCACCUUUUAGCAGAGUGGAAACCAGAUCUAAUCCAGGAUGAGAAAGAAGUCAAACCAGCAUCAGUUCCAGAUGAUUGGGACAGUGCAGAGAAACCUCACCAGCUCCAAGCCUUUCUUCUCAACCCCGAUUCUAUGUUAAAGCUCAGUUUCACGGUGAGUAUUUCACAGUAGCCAUUAUUACAUAUGCAUGCCUAUGACAGUUUCUCAUCGGAAGAAAACCCUAUUUAGGGGCUAGAACCAGUGUUUCAUUUAAUUCAGCAAAAUUCAACUAGAGGUUGAAAGAUAAUAAAUACCUUAAUUUCAAGAAACCUAUGUACUUGAGGCAGAAAUUAGGAGAACCC